RNAcentral lists this ribosomal RNA (535 nucleotides) under uncultured bacterium. RNAcentral's name for it is "partial 16S ribosomal RNA". It matches the Rfam family "Bacterial small subunit ribosomal RNA", at positions 355 to 901 of the family's 1533-position model. The record is from RNAcentral.
UGGGGAAUAUUGCACAAUGGGCGGAAGCCUGAUGCAGCAACGCCGCGUGAGGGAUGACGGCCUUCGGGUUGUAAACCUCUUUUAGCAGGGAAGAAGCGAGAGUGACGGUACCUGCAGAAAAAGCGCCGGCUAACUACGUGCCAGCAGCCGCGGUAAUACGUAGGGCGCAAGCGUUAUCCGGAAUUAUUGGGCGUAAAGAGCUCGUAGGCGGUUUGUCGCGUCUGCUGUGAAAUCCCGAGGCUCAACCUCGGGCCUGCAGUGGGUACGGGCAGACUAGAGUGCGGUAGGGGAGAUUGGAAUUCCUGGUGUAGCGGUGGAAUGCGCAGAUAUCAGGAGGAACACCGAUGGCGAAGGCAGAUCUCUGGGCCGUAACUGACGCUGAGGAGCGAAAGGGUGGGGAGCAAACAGGCUUAGAUACCCUGGUAGUCCACCCGUAAACGUUGGGAACUAGUUGUGGGGACCAUUCCACGGUUUCCGUGACGCAGCUAACGCAUUAAGUUCCCCGCCUGGGGAGUACGGCCGCAAGGCUAAAACU